This 482-nucleotide ribosomal RNA is filed under the name uncultured bacterium. RNAcentral's name for it is "partial 16S ribosomal RNA". It matches the Rfam family "Bacterial small subunit ribosomal RNA", at positions 28 to 507 of the family's 1533-position model. The record is from RNAcentral.
GAUGAACGCUAGCGGCAGGCCUAAUACAUGCAAGUCGGACGGGAUUCAGGAGCUUGCUUCUGAUGAGAGUGGCGCACGGGUGCGUAGCACGUAUGUAACCUACCUUUAUCAGGGGGAUAGCCUCUCGAAAGAGAGAUUAAGCCCGCAUAAAAUCACAGCACAGCAUUGUGUAAUGAUCAAAUAUUUAUAGGAUAAAGAUGGGCAUGCGGAACAUUAGCUAGAUGGCGGGGUAACGGCCCACCAUGGCGACGAUGUUUAGGGGAUCUGAGAGGAUGGCCCCCCACACUGGUACUGAGACACGGACCAGACUCCUACGGGAGGCAGCAGUAAGGAAUAUUGGGCAAUGGGCGGAAGCCUGAACCAGCCAUGCCGCGUGCAGGAAGACGGCCCUACGGGUUGUAAACUGCUUUUAUACGGGAAUAAACCCAGAUACGUGUAUCUGGCUGAAUGUACUGUAAGAAUAAGGAUCGGCUAACUCCGUG